Molecule: RNase P RNA, 365 nt
Filed under: Microbacterium endophyticum
Lineage: Bacteria; Bacillati; Actinomycetota; Actinomycetes; Micrococcales; Microbacteriaceae
Description: RNase P class A
Rfam family: Bacterial RNase P class A
About the family: Ribonuclease P (RNase P) is a ubiquitous endoribonuclease, found in archaea, bacteria and eukarya as well as chloroplasts and mitochondria.
Source: RNAcentral
UGGGUCGGCUGGAUGGUCACGUCGUGUCGGUUCGCCGUCGCGCCGAGGAACGUCCGGGCUCCACAGGGCAGGACGGUGGGUAACGCCCACCCGGAGAAAUCCGCGAGACAGUGCCACAGAGAGUAGACCGCCGGGGCUUGCCCCGGUAAGGGUGAAAGGGUGGUGUAAGAGACCACCGGGGUCGUGGUGACACGGCCUGCAAGGUAAACCUCGUCCGGAGCAAGGUCAGACAGGGGAUGUUGACGCGGCUCGCCGAGUCCCCGGGUAGGCCGCUAGAGCGGCACGGCAACGUGUCGCCGAGAGAGAUGACCGUCGAAGGAGUUCACACUCCGGAACAGAACCCGGCGUACAGGCCGGCCCAUUCG